UCACCUCCUCACCCCUCACUCUUGCUAACCCAAGCUGCUGCAGGUGCCAAAUGGAAACUUCCAUGGGGCUUCCUAAUGAACACGUGGUGUGGCGGCGACAGGAGUGCUCUCUCCUCUGGAAUUCGUGUAUUAUCUGAAUGGGGCGGGUGGGGUUGGGGCAGGAGGCUGACAGUGCGCCCAGACAUUUCUGAUCCCAUGUUUUUAAUGGAAUACCCUUCCUCCCAUAGAGCCAAGUGCCCCUAGCAUGUUGUCCCUGGCCUCUGGGUCUCAGAAGUGGCAGUGACCCUGCCCAAAGGUGCCUCCUGCUUCAGAUGUGGCCAGUGCCAGAGAGCCGCCCAUACAGCCAGAGCCAGUUUAACCCCGAAUGGAUUCAGAGACCAAAUGUGUGCUGUGACCAUUUCAUGUGUGUCUCCGUCUUACUUUAAUACAAACUUUACCAUGUGUUGUGAAAUUCACGUCAGCAGGCUCUGCUCCAGUGGCUUAAGUGGUCCCUCACUUGCAUUUGCUGGCAGUGCUCAUACACUCAAAUGAACUCCUGGCCAUAGUGUUCAGUGGGAUUCUCAUCACCCUGGUCACUGCUAAAGAAGAGAGCCUUCGUGUGCCUGGGCUUCCUGCAACAGGAAACCCUCAGGCUUGGCAUCAGCCUCCUCCUUCAGGUAGGAGGUCUGCUAACCCCAGGGUGGACUCUGGGCGGGCGGCAUGGUGGGUUGAUCUUUUGAUGAAUUGCUGAUGACUGAAAACUCUGUGCGUGUGCACACUAGGACUGGAACCCACAUGGGGCCAUGUGCAUACUUGGCAGGCGCUCUGUCACUGCCACACCUGCAGACCUCGGCAUGGGCCUCUGUGCCAUGUCCACUGAGUGUUGGGCGGUGGUCCUGGAGUGUUCUGGUUGAGAAAGGCAGACACACUUAGUGGAGGGUCAUUGAGAGUGGCCUUUAAAGGAGCUGAGUGACCUGCUACUGGCACCUGGCCUGCCACCUUGGAAUGAAGUUACUACCAUGGGGAACCCCACGCUGUGAGUACCCCCCUUUCAAACUUCCAAGCCAAAA
RNAcentral lists this long non-coding RNA (1049 nucleotides) under Rattus norvegicus (Norway rat). Its description in RNAcentral is "long non-coding RNA NONRATT001830". Lineage: Eukaryota; Metazoa; Chordata; Mammalia; Rodentia; Muridae. The record is from RNAcentral.